Molecule: ribosomal RNA, 2475 nt
Filed under: Triticum aestivum (bread wheat)
Lineage: Eukaryota; Viridiplantae; Streptophyta; Magnoliopsida; Poales; Poaceae
Description: partial small subunit ribosomal RNA
Source: RNAcentral
AUGCCAAUGAUGCAUUCCCUCUCUGUUUAUGCGAUCCUUUUGUUUCUCUCUUGGCCAUUCAGCUCGGUGCCUCUCUGUGCAUCCGACCACCUACUUGUCCCUGGCAAGCCGCUCUCCCCUGGUAGUGUUCUUGUCUCGGAAGACGAAGUUUUCGCCCUCGGGUUCUUCUCCCCAUCAUCAUCAAACUCCACCAAGAAGCACUACUACGUCGGAAUAUGGUACAACGACAUUCCGAAGUGCACCGUGGUAUGGGUCUCCAACCGGGCCGCUCCCAUCACAAACCUUUCCUCUGUGAAUCUUGCCGUAACCAGCAGCUCCGACAUAGUGAUAUCUGAUAGCAAUGGCCGUGUCCUUUGGAGGACGAACAACAACAUCAACAUCAUCAAUUCAUCAUUGACUACCGCCAUCUCGGUGGUAGCGAUGCUGGAGAACACUGGAAACUUCAUCCUCCGGUCGUUGGCCGACGGUGCCAUACUGUGGCAAAGCUUCGACCAGCCUACCGACACCCUCCUGCCCGGCAUGAAUCUCAGGCUCAGCCACAACAUGCAUCCACUGCAGCAACUGGUUGCUUGGAAAGGCCAGCAAGACCCGGCACCUGGCGUGUUCUCCUACGGCGCAGACCCCAACAAUCUCCUGCAAAGCUUCAUCUGGAAUGGCUCGAGGCCACACCGGCGAAGCCCGGUAUGGAUAAACUACCUCCUCCGUUUGUACUACAUGGAUAUGUUCAAGUCUACCAUCUACAUGGCGUUGCAUCACGCCGGCGACGAGGUUUACAUGUCGUUCGGCAUGCCAACCGGCUCCUUCGCCGUGUUGGUUAGGAUGAAUAUUGACUACUCAGGUAAGGUAACUGUCCUAAGCUGGGAAAGCAACAUGUCGGUAUGGAGAGCCCUGUACGCAGAGCCUGAACAUGAGUGCAAUACGUAUAGCUACUGUGGUCCUUAUGGUUACUGCGACAACACAGAAAUCAUCCCAGUGUGCAAGUGCUUGGAUGGUUUCGAGCCGAGGGACGAUAAAGGAUGGAUCGUCGGACGUUUCUUGCAGGGAUGCCGCCGGAAGGAGGUGCGAAGGUGUACCCAUGGAGACGGGUUCUUGACCUUUUCGGGCAUGAAGGUCCCUGACAAGUUCCUCCAUGUCCCGAACAAAAGCUUUGAUGAGUGCACUGAGGAAUGCAAAAGCAAUUGCUCAUGUGUGGCAUAUGCUUACUCCAGUAUGAGCAACAUGGAUAUCGACGGAGAUGACACAAGGUGCCUGGUAUGGAUGGGGGAUUUGAUCGACAUGGAGAACAACGCACAAGGAGGGGAGAACCUCUAUGUUCGGACUUACGUAUUACAAGGUAACCUGAGAAAGGUCAAAACUAUAAAAAUGGUAUUACCAUUUGUGUCAAGUUUGUUGAUCUUCGUAUGCGUGGUGUUUAUUUGGGCCUAUGUCAAUAGAGGCAAUCAUGCUAGCAAAGGUGUCUGGCAAAGGAUCAUGCGAGUAUAUUCAAGAACUUGUAAGGAACUCGUUGAUAGUAACACAGAGUUUCCCAUUUUGAGAUUCCGAACAAUUGUUGUCGCGACAAAUAAUUUCUCCGAAUCUAGCAUUCUCGGCCAAGGAGGUUUUGGCAAUGUAUAUAAGGGCAAGUUGGAAGAUGGUAAGGAUAUUGCUGUGAAAAGGCUUCGUGUAGGUUCUGUCCAAGGGGAAAUGGAGUUCAAGAAUGAGAUAGUUCUGGUCACCAAGUUGCAGCAUAGGAACAUGGUCAAACUUUUAGCUUGCAGCAUUCAUGAAGAUGAAAAACUUUUGAUUUAUGAAUACCUACCUAACGGAAGUUUGGAUUCCUUCAUUUUCAAUGACACAAGGAAGUCACUACUCAACUGGCCCACAAGAUUUAAGAUAAUCACAGGUGUAGCCAGUGGCCUUCUUUAUCUCCACCAAGACUCCAGAUUGACGAUGAUUCAUAGAGAUCUCAAGGCAAGCAACAUAUUGUUGGAUGCUGAGAUGGACCCCAAAAUAUCUGAUUUUGGUACAGCUAGGAUAUUUAGUGUCAAUGAAAAGCAAGGACACACCAAUCGAGUCGUUGGAACAUUUGGAUACAUGUCGCCCGAAUAUGCAAUGGAAGGAAUCAUCUCCGUCAAGUCUGAUGUGUACAGCUUUGGUGUAUUACUCCUGGAAAUAGUGAGUGGCUUGAAGAUCUGCACUACAAGCCCAAGCACGCACUCUCAUAACCUUAUAGAUCAUGCGUGCAGCUUACAGAGGGAUGGGAUGUUGUCGAAUCUUGUCGACCCGUCUAUCAUCGAGGGUUGCUCUCCUGAUGAAGCUGAUGAAGCUCUACGGUGCAUCCAUAUUGGACUGUUGUCGGUGCAGAACAACCCAAAUGCUCGCCCCCUCAUGUCUUGGGUGGUAGAAAGCCUGGAUAACAAAGCCAUAAAGCUCCCGCAGUUGAAAGAGCCCAUAUACUUUGGAUACCAGAUCUAUGGAAGUGACGGACUAGGAUAA